Myodes glareolus (Bank vole) is the source of this 102-nucleotide small nuclear RNA. The record is from RefSeq and is a predicted model, not a curated record. NCBI's taxonomy places the organism in Eukaryota, Metazoa, Chordata, Mammalia, Rodentia, Cricetidae.
GUGCUCGCUUUGGCAACACGUAUACUAAAAGUGGAACAAUCCAGAGGAGAUUAGCAUGGCCCCUGUGCUGACACUGGGGCUGAUAAGGUGGCUCAGAAGAUA